GGCUACACGACCCAGCGAACACCUGGUAAAUUGAUACCACUGCCCAUCCAACUUCCCAAACUGUUAUGUAAACAGUGUUCAGGAGACAUAGACUACCGAAAAGGGGGAAAAUUUGUAUGCUAACAGCCAGGGGGAGCAUUUGUUGGUUUUCGUGUUAGAACCCCUGAAAGAUGACCGACCGUUGCCUGAUUUUCUCGGGAACUGUUUUGGGCCAUCACCUCGUGGCUAACCGGUCAAAAAACUUAAUUCGAGGGGGGCGGGGGCGGGGCCGGGCGGCCAUGCUAGCAGGCUGCAAGUCACUAUGGCUCCUGAGGAAUCCAACUAAUUUUGAGC
Molecule: non-coding RNA, 333 nt
Organism: Pelobates cultripes (western spadefoot toad)
Lineage: Eukaryota; Metazoa; Chordata; Amphibia; Anura; Pelobatidae
Source: the annotation of a GenBank genome assembly